ACGAACGCUGGCGGCGCGCUUAACCCAUGCAAGUCGAACGGAAAGGCCCUGCUUUUGUGGGGUGCUCGAGUGGCGAACGGGUGAGUAACACGUGAGUAACCUGCCCUUGACUUUGGGAUAACUUCAGGAAACUGGGGCUAAUACCGGAUAGGAGCUCCUGCUGCAUGGUGGGGGUUGGAAAGUUUCGGCGGUUGGGGAUGGACUCGCGGCUUAUCAGCUUGUUGGUGGGGUAGUGGCUUACCAAGGCUUUGACGGGUAGCCGGCCUGAGAGGGUGACCGGCCACAUUGGGACUGAGAUACGGCCCAGACUCCUACGGGAGGCAGCAGUGGGGAAUAUUGCACAAUGGGCGGAAGCCUGAUGCAGCAACGCCGCGUGCGGGAUGACGGCCUUCGGGUUGUAAACCGCUUUCGCCUGUGACGAAGCGUGAGUGACGGUAAUGGGUAAAGAAGCACCGGCUAACUACGUG
Molecule: ribosomal RNA, 467 nt
Filed under: uncultured bacterium
Lineage: Bacteria
Description: partial 16S ribosomal RNA
Rfam family: Bacterial small subunit ribosomal RNA
Source: RNAcentral